UACGUAGGGUGCAAGCGUUGUCCGGAAUUAUUGGGCGUAAAGAGCUCGUAGGCGGUUUGUCGCGUCUGCUGUGAAAACGCGAGGCUCAACCUCGCGCCUGCAGUGGGUACGGGCAGACUAGAGUCCGGAAGAGGAGAGUGGAAUUCCCGGUGUAGCGGUGAAAUGCGCAGAUAUCGGGAAGAACACCCGUGGCGAAGGCGGCUCUCUGGGACGGUACUGACGCUGAGACGCGAAAGCGUGGGGAGCGAACAGG
RNAcentral lists this ribosomal RNA (253 nucleotides) under uncultured bacterium. RNAcentral's name for it is "partial 16S ribosomal RNA". It matches the Rfam family "Bacterial small subunit ribosomal RNA", at positions 524 to 776 of the family's 1533-position model. The record is from RNAcentral.